This 689-nucleotide ribosomal RNA is filed under the name uncultured Alphaproteobacteria bacterium. RNAcentral describes it as "bacterial SSU rRNA". It matches the Rfam family "Bacterial small subunit ribosomal RNA", at positions 81 to 805 of the family's 1533-position model. Lineage: Bacteria; Pseudomonadati; Pseudomonadota; Alphaproteobacteria. The record is from RNAcentral.
AGUAGCAAUACUGAGUGGCAAACGGGUGAGUAUAAUGUAGGAAUCUACCUUUUGGUUUGGAAUAACACGGGGAAACUUGUGCUAAUACCGAAUAAGCCUUUACAGGGAAAGUUUUAACGCCGAAAGAUGAGCCUGCACUUGAUUAGCUAGUUGGUAAGGUAAAAGCUUACCAAGGCAACGAUCAAUAGCUGUUCUUAGAGGAAGACCAGCCACAUUGGGACUGAGACACGGCCCAGACUCCUACGGGAGGCAGCAGUGGGGAAUCUUGCACAAUGGGGGAAACCCUGAUGCAGCGAUGCCGCGUGAGUGAAGAAGGCCCUUGGGUUGUAAAACUCUUUCGUCGGGGAAGAAAAUGACUGUACCCGAAUAAGAAGGUCCGGCUAACUUCGUGCCAGCAGUCGCGGUAAUACGAAGGGACCUAGCGUAGUUCGGAAUUACUGGGCUUAAAGAGCUCGUAGGUGGUUAAAAAAGUUGAUGGUGAAAUCCCAAGGCUCAACCUUGGAACUGCCAUCAAAACUUUUUAGCUAGAGUGUGAUAGAGGUAAGUGGAAUUUCUAGUGUAGAGGUGAAAUUCGUAGAUAUUAGAAAGAACACCAAAUGCGAAGGCAACUUACUGGGUCACAACUGACACUGAGGAGCGAAAGCAUGGGUAGCGAAGAGGAUUAGAUACCCUCGUAGUCCAUGCCGUAA